Molecule: ribosomal RNA, 446 nt
Filed under: uncultured bacterium
Lineage: Bacteria
Description: partial 16S ribosomal RNA
Rfam family: Bacterial small subunit ribosomal RNA
Source: RNAcentral
CCUACGGGAGGCUGCAGUCGAGAAUCAUUCACAAUGGGGGAAACCCUGAUGGUGCGACGCCGCGUGGGGGAAUGAAGGUCUUCGGAUUGUAAACCCCUGUCAUGUGGGAGCAAAUUAAAAAGAUAGUACCACAAGAGGAAGAGACGGCUAACUCUGUGCCAGCAGCAGCGGGAAUACAGAGGUCUCAAGCGUUGUUCGGAAUCACUGGGCGUAAAGCGUGCGUAGGCUGUUUCGUAAGUCGUGUGUGAAAGGCGCGGGCUCAACCCGCGGACGGCACAUGAUACUGCGAGACUAGAGUAAUGGAGGGGGAACCGGAAUUCUCGGUGUAGCAGUGAAAUGCGUAGAUAUCGAGAGGAACACUCGUGGCGAAGGCGGGUUCCUGGACAUUAACUGACGCUGAGGCACGAAGGCCAGGGGAGCGAAAGGGAUUAGAUACCCCAGUAGUC